CCUACGGGAGGCAGCAGUGAGGAAUAUUGGUCAAUGGGCGAGAGCCUGAACCAGCCAAGUCGCGUGAGGGAGUACUGCCCUAUGGGUUGUAAACCUCUUUUGUCGGGGAGCAAAAGCCGGACGUGUCCGGCUGUGAGAGUACCCGAAGAAAAAGCAUCAGCUAACUCCGUGCCAGCAGCCGCGGUAAUACGGAGGAAGCGAGCGUUAUCCGUAUUUAUUGGGUUUAAAGGGGGCGCAGGCGGAUUUUUAAGUCAGCGGUAAAAUCGUGGGGCUCAACCCCAUCCAGCCGUUGAAACUGGGGAUCUAGAGUGUGCGAGAGGUAUGCGGAAUGCGUGGUGUAGCGGUGAAAUGCAUAGAUAUCACGCAGAACCCCGAUUGCGAAGGCAGCAUACCGGUGCACAACUGACGCUCAGGCACGAAAGCGUGGGUAUCGAACAGGAUUAGAUACCCCAGUAGUC
Molecule: ribosomal RNA, 458 nt
Filed under: uncultured bacterium
Lineage: Bacteria
Description: partial 16S ribosomal RNA
Rfam family: Bacterial small subunit ribosomal RNA
Source: RNAcentral